GGAAAAAGAAGAGAGAGAGAGAGAGAGAGAGAGAGAGAGAGAGAAAGAUAAAUGAAUCAAUCAGUGAAUCAAUCCCCUGAUACAGAUUAACUGAGUGAUAAUCGAAGGCAGGGAGGCUGUGGCUGGAGGAGGUAGGCAGUGGGGCGGUGUGGCUUUAGUUAAGUGGAGUCUCUCUCUCUCUCUCUCUCAUUCCUCUCUCUCUCUCUGCUUUCUUUUCAUC
Molecule: microRNA precursor, 220 nt
Filed under: Marmota monax (woodchuck)
Lineage: Eukaryota; Metazoa; Chordata; Mammalia; Rodentia; Sciuridae
Source: RNAcentral